ACGGGUGAGUAACGCGUGGGUAACCUGCCUUAUACAGGGGGAUAACAGUCAGAAAUGGCUGCUAAUACCGCAUAAGCGCACAGAGCUGCAUGGCCCAGUGUGAAAACUCCGGUGGUAUAAGAUGGACCCGCGUUGGAUUAGCUGGUUGGUGGGGUAACGGCCCACCAAGGCGACGAUCCAUAGCCGGCCUGAGAGGGUGAACGGCCACAUUGGGACUGAGACACGGCCCAGACUCCUACGGGAGGCAGCAUG
RNAcentral lists this ribosomal RNA (252 nucleotides) under uncultured bacterium. Its description in RNAcentral is "partial 16S ribosomal RNA". It matches the Rfam family "Bacterial small subunit ribosomal RNA", at positions 102 to 353 of the family's 1533-position model. The record is from RNAcentral.